This 412-nucleotide long non-coding RNA is filed under the name Phoenix dactylifera (date palm). RNAcentral's name for it is "long non-coding RNA (PDAC_LNC016302)". The record is from RNAcentral. Lineage: Eukaryota; Viridiplantae; Streptophyta; Magnoliopsida; Arecales; Arecaceae.
GAACCUCUCUAUAAGAGAAAGUAGGGUCAUUAUGGGAAAUUCACUCCAUCUAAUUAAUAAAAGUCCCAUCCCACCAUCUCCCCUUCAAGUGAGUACCCAAGCGGCAACUGCAACAUCACAGCACAGCAGCCAUUCAACCCCCUCCCUCCUUUUCUCUCUCUACCACCCAAGAGGGGAGAAGAAACAGAGAGGAGAAAACUAAAAGAAUCUCCACCCUCCAAGAAGUCCAUCUCCAAUCCCCCUAUCUUUCUUUCCGAUGGCCCAGCCGGAUCAGAAGUAAUGUGAGGGAAGGAAAACCAAGACCAAAACCAAAAAAGAGAAGGAAUGAAAGAUAAGAGUUGCUUCAGGCGUCUAUCAAGCCAACCAAAUCCCUUCUCUCUCUCUCUCUCUCCCCACCCAAAACAAAACUACU